GAAGAAAUUUUGAGAUGAAUGGCUUGAUAAGCAAAACCCAUGGUGGUCACAGCAUUGGAGACUGAAGAGGGCGAGAGCGACUGAACGAUGGAGCAAAUGAGCAAAGCAGUAGCAAACCCGAGC
This is a long non-coding RNA of Neltuma alba, 123 nucleotides long. RefSeq lists it as uncharacterized. Lineage: Eukaryota; Viridiplantae; Streptophyta; Magnoliopsida; Fabales; Fabaceae. The record is from RefSeq and is a predicted model, not a curated record. The transcript is spliced from 3 exons.